GAUGAACGCUGGCGGCGUGCCUAAUACAUGCAAGUCGAGCGAACAGAUAAGGAGCUUGCUCCUUUGACGUUAGCGGCGGACGGGUGAGUAACACGUGGGUAACCUACCUAUAAGACUGGAAUAACUCCGGGAAACCGGGGCUAAUGCCGGAUAACAUUUAGAACCGCAUGGUUCUAAAGUGAAAGAUGGUUUUGCUAUCACUUAUAGAUGGACCCGCGCCGUAUUAGCUAGUUGGUAAGGUAACGGCUUACCAAGGCAACGAUACGUAGCCGACCUGAGAGAGUGAUCGGCCACACGGGAACGUGGACACGGACCAGACGACUACGAGAGGCAGCAGUAGGGAAUCUUCCGCAGUGGGCGAAAGCCUGACGGAGCAACGCCGCGUGAGUGAUGAAGGUCUUCGGAUCGUAAAACUCUGUUAUUAGGGAAGAACAAAUGUGUAAGUAAAUGUGCACGUCUUGACGGUACCUAAUCAGAAAGCCACGGCUAACUACGUG
RNAcentral lists this ribosomal RNA (497 nucleotides) under uncultured bacterium. RNAcentral describes it as "partial 16S ribosomal RNA". It matches the Rfam family "Bacterial small subunit ribosomal RNA", at positions 28 to 507 of the family's 1533-position model. The record is from RNAcentral.